ACCACCAAACACACAUCUCCCUCUUCUUCUUUUUCUUCAUUCCUCCUCCUUCCAUCUACCAUAACUCAAAAUCUAACCGUUUGUUUCUCAAAUUGAAGCUACCUAAACGUUCAGGACUCCAAGAGCUACGUUUCUACCGAUUGAUUUUCCGUUUCAUCCAACGGGUAAGAAAAACCCCUUUCUCCAUUUUUCCCUAGGAUUGUAAACAUGCAAUUUCUUGCUACAAGCAACCCAUUUUGUUUUCUUCCAUAAUCUAGCUUCUGUUUGGUUCUAAAAUUCGUUCUCCAUCAUCAAUUGAUGAUUUUAGGUGAUUCUCACAUUUUGGGUUCAAAGUACGUGGUCUAGGAUUCUUCCUUGAGUUGGCCGGACGCACUAGAGGUAAGGGGAGCUAGUUCUAUUUCUUAUUUUUAUUGUGUAAUGUGAAUGAAUGACAAAUUUUGAAGUGGUAUGUUGUUAAAGGCAUGAAAUUGGUUCUAUUGACUUGAAAUGCAUGUAUGGAAGUGGGUGUGUUGUGUGAAUUUGGUGAUUGAUGGCUAUGAAUUGUUUGGAAUGAUUUUGAAUGAUGAAUUAUUUAUGUUGGAACUAAUUUGGUGUGAAAAAUCUGUUGUGGUAUUGUUAGGAAGAAAAAUCAAGUGUCUUAGGGUCAAUUUUAGGUCAUUUAGAGGAAGUAAGGUAGUGAUUUUGAGCAAUUGAGGUCUGCACCAUAUUUGGAUUAUUGGGACAGUUUUAUCCACUGUAUUGUGACUUGUUUGAGUCACUAAAUUGGUAAAAAUAGGUGCAAAGAGGUAAGAUUGAGUUUUUGGUCUCUAUGUUGGUGAAAUUGGAGUUAUUUGAAGAGAAGAGAAGUAGUGAAUUUGAGAGGUAGAGGUCUAGGACUCUUUUGAACUGUUGAGGCAGCUUAGGCAAGUUAAUUAUAACUUGUUAGAACUAUAAAAUUGGUUAAAAUGAGGUUCUAAAUGGUAGAAGUGGAGUUAAUUCCUUAGGUUGAGGAAAACUAGUGUUUUGAGUGAGUUUAGAGGAAGUGAGAGAGUGUUUUUGAGUAAUUGAGGUCUAGGGUGUAAGUGGGCAGUGGGGACAGUUUGACUAAGUCAAUUAUGACUUGUUAGAAGUUUUAAAAGUGGUAAAAACAUUGCUUAACUGGUAGAAUUAGAAUUGGGCACAUGUGUUGAUGAAAUUGAGUAAUUUGAAUGUAGAUUGAUGUGAAAUCACUAGAGAAUUGGUUUAGGAAGUGUUAAAGUUGAUUAGGCAAGUUAGAUUCAUCAUAUAGAUCAAGUUAGGAGUGCUAGAAAUCCACCAAAAGGCCUAAAACGAAACUUAGGAGUGUGAGUUUGAAAAAUCUGCAUUUCCUGUCAACUGGUGUAGCACUCAGCGCCACUAAUCCCGCUCGAGCGCCACUGGACGCAACAACACUUUUCAGAAUUUGUUUUUGGUAGUUUUUGGGGUUCCGGAUGUCCGUUUUGGACGUUCUUUAGGUCGUUCUGGGGGUUUUUUACCCUUCCAGAACCAUUGGUGAGGGUCCCAAGGCUGUUUGAAUUACUUAAGUAUUGAUAAUUAAAUAUCAUAAAGAAAUUUGUGGUAAUAAGUGAUGGUUUUGUGAAAGUAUGUAAUGUAUGAGUUGUUUUAUGACAUGGUCGAUGUUGUGAUAUGGUGUAUGGGCUUGGUAUGAGCCAAUAUAGUACGAAUGUACUUGAAUGACUAUGAAAUUUUAUGUUUGAUGAAGCAAAGUGGUUUAUGAGGUACAUUAUUGAUUCAAGAGGAAUAUCAGGUGAUUUGAAGUGGUCGGAUUGAAUAUGAAAUUAAGAUCUCUCGGUGAGAUCAGUUAGUGUAUUGAAUGUAUGUAAGAGGCUUCCACUAUGGGGGGUUAUCCGUAACACUCUAACGGUCUUUCAUUCUCACUUAGAGAGGAUUGACGCGUGUGGUGAGAGUAGUGAGAGGUCCUAGGGUAGGCGCUAUCACUGGAGGUCUAUUCCGCGGUAACGAACCAGCCUUGUGUGUGGUCGGGUGAAACCCCUCGACAAUGGCUUUGCAAAGCAGUAGAGGCCACCACAAGUGCACAACCCGCCCCAGCUCUAUAUACAUUCUAUGUCCGGACGUGUCUAGGAGUCUUAACAUGACAUGAUGUUUGCUUUAGUGAGUUUUGUGAAAUGANUGUUUAUGUUUAUGAUGACUUACAUGUUUAAGUGUGUAUGANCGUUCUUGCAAUGAAUUGUAUGAUUGUUUGAGACCUAGCUCACCCUUGCACUUGUAUGUUCGUAUGUGUUUGCCUUCCCCCUUGCGAUGAUCAUCCAAUCCUUUGGAUGUGAGCAGUAGGUGAUGAGGUACCCUUGGAGCAGGCGUGGGAGACUGAGGAAGAUACAGUCCCUAAUACUUAGGACAAUUAUUAGUUCUUAUUUCAAUAGCUUGUUAAUUUUUGGAAACACUCUCUAGGCAUCCUUCGAUCUUUAGUUUAUUAUGUAUUUUGGAGAACUUUGGGGAACUUGUACUCAAGUCUUAUUUCGUUUUAAUUUCCACUAAAUUUCGGAUGACUGUAUAAAUAUUUAAAUAUUGUCAUCUUUAUCUCUUAACUGCUUUCACAUAUUGUAAUAGCUGAAUCCUAUUAUAUUAUAUGUGAAUAUGAUAUUU
RNAcentral lists this long non-coding RNA (2622 nucleotides) under Vigna radiata. RNAcentral's name for it is "long non-coding RNA (VRAD_LNC007792)". Lineage: Eukaryota; Viridiplantae; Streptophyta; Magnoliopsida; Fabales; Fabaceae. The record is from RNAcentral.